This 3010-nucleotide long non-coding RNA is filed under the name Pan troglodytes (chimpanzee). RNAcentral describes it as "long non-coding RNA NONPTRT003270". The record is from RNAcentral. Lineage: Eukaryota; Metazoa; Chordata; Mammalia; Primates; Hominidae.
GAGAAAACAAGGCUCUCAUUUUCAAAGAACUGACCCACUGACGAGAGGAGACAGGCAAUAACGAAUGCAUAUUAUUUCAGAUGCAAUCUGUUGUAUGGAGGAUGAGGGUGAGUCGGGGAGACAGAGGUAGCAGUGGAGAGGGGUCAGUGCUCUGUAGGGUGGCCACAAAGGCCUCCGUGAUAAGUGACACUUGAGCAAAGCAGCAACACCCUGACAUGCAGCUCCCUGGGUCCAAGAAGAACGAACUCUCCACCAGGUGGAACAACCGUUGCUCAGCCUGCUUACAGAUCAGCAGGAAGGCCAUCGGGCUCAACUGACUGGGCGGGGGCUGCUGGGGGCAACAGCAGUGAGGGAUGUGGUGGGCAUGGGAGAAGGGAGUCCCCAGGCACCAGGUGAAAGCAGAAGGCAAUAGGGGGUCCAGUACGGAGGACUAACAUAAUCUAUCCAUCUCUAAGAAGAACUGCCCUGCUCCUCCACGGAGGAUAAAUGGAGAGGGCAAGGGCAGGUGGAGAUGUGGCUCCUGGAAUCAUCCAGGCCAAGAUGCAGUGGGCUGAGUGGGGGCAUGGGGUUGGGGCAGAGAGAAGCAGUCAAAUUCUGGCCAAGUUUAGGAGGCAGAGCCAGGAGGAUCUGCUGCUGGAUUGGAUGUGGGAGAUAAAGAGAGGGGUCCAAAAUAGCCCGAGACACAGAACAGCACUGCCAUUUCCAGAUACGGGGCUGCGUGCAGGAGGGGUAAUGUGGGGAAAUGGAGCUCUGUGUCAGGUGCCUGUUAGACACAUGCAGAAGAAAAUGCGCCCCCACACACCUGGAGCUCAGGUGCAGGCCAGCAUCGGCGGGCGCGGGUGUCCAACCUGUUUACAAACCACAGGUGCACGGGUGAGACCCUAUGCAGUGAGUGUGGACAGAGGAAAGAAACAGCCCAAGGAGUGGGCCAGAGACCCCCAGCAUUCAGAGGCUGGAUAUGAAGAGGGAUCCUCCAAAGAGACCUAGAUGAGGCCAUACCGUGUGGAAGAUAAUGGAAACAUCUUCAGUCAACGCUGGAGAAUAAGCUCUGCCAAGAGGUACUUUGAUAGAGAAGCUGAGCAAUUAACUGGCAGAAAAGAAGGGCGAGAAUAAGAAGCUGGUGUAGGAAGACCUCACCUGAGGAAACGAGUGUGUCCUGCUCAGGUCUGCAUGGAAGUGUGAUCCAAGGGGCUUCUCCACCUUACAGGAGGAUUUGCAGGAAGGCUCCCUUCCAUUCCAUCACUUUCUGACAGAACCAGCUCAUACACAGCUCUGCAGAAGCACACACUCAGGUAAAGCGGGGCAGAAGACCCUGCAGGUGGCUUAGGCCACACCCAAGUAGCCCGAGUCUCAUCCACAUCUUAGCCCCAUGCUUGUCGUUCCAAGGCAGUUCCAGAAGAACUGGUGAGUUUGGGCAAAACCAGGGACUCUGCCCCAUGUUGUUCCCAAGCCACUGUCGACAAGCUUCCCUUUAGUAAGCUCCAUUUAAUAAGCCCUUGACCCGGCUCAGCUGCUGGGCUGCACACCACGAAUGUCCCCUGCACUCCCCCUGGGCAGCCACACACGGGCAGCAAGCCUGCUGGCCUCAGUGAGCUCCACGGCUCACCAUCCCCCAGCCCACCUUCACGGGGCUCCCAGAGCUCUCGCUGUGCCGGGGAUGUGUGUGCUACUUGACUUUCUGACUCUUACUGGAGAUAAUUUGGUUUUGGCAGUAGAUGCCAGAUGUAGUUUGUGAAGCAAAACUCAACCCCGCAGUUAACUCAUAUGGAGCGCCCUUGACUGCCUGGCAGAUUCUUACCCCCCGCCCACCAGCAUGAGAAUGAAUUUGCAUUUGAACUGUCCUCUCCAGGGCACUUCCAAUCCAGAGACAUUUGAAGGGAAGUCGGGGUCAGGAGGGGAAGAUGAGGCCAGGAUCAUGGCCCACCCACCCCAGGGACGGUCCCCAUCUGGACCCCCAGGCGGCAAGUGGGGCCCAAUGGGAACCUGACCGAGAAAACCAAGCUCUCAGACAGCCUUCCCUUCUGGCAAGAGUGGCACACAUGACCAGAGACUAUCACCAGAGGGGGUGUGAUUCAAGGCUAUAGCUUUACUGCAACUCAGGACAGUGAGCCCAAGCCAGGUGUUGGGUUGGGCCCCAGAACAAGGCUUAAAUGCGGACGUGGACACACCUCGAAGGAGGGCUGCUCCGCCCCUGCUGCUCGGGCGUUGGGGGUGGGGGGCGGGGGCCACUGAGCUGGGCCUUCUGUCCUCCUCCCUGGAUGUGCAGACAUGGGCCAUGGCUUCUGCCAGGACUCACAUGUGAGCUGGGCCUUCUGUCCUCCUCCCUGGAUGUGCAGACAUGGGCCAUGGCUUCUGCCAGGACUCACAUGUGAGCUGGGCCUUCUGUCCUCCUCCCUGGAUGUGCAGACAUGGGCCAUGGCUUCUGCCAGGACUCACAUGUGAGCUGGGCCUUCUGUCCUCCUCCCUGGAUGUGCAGACACGGGCCAUGGCUUCUGCCAGGACUCACAUGUCCUCCUCACUGAACACCAGAGACACUUGCUAACUCGGGAAGACGCAGGGUGAGGAUUUCUGUUUCUCCAGCCCAGCCUGUCACCCUGUGGGAAGCAGCGAGUGGGAAGGGAAAGGGGAAGUCACAUGUUUCUCACGCCGAGUUCCUUCCAGAAUCCCAAAGAAGGCUCAGAAGGUUGUGAAGGAAGAACAAAGUCAGCUCAGAUGGAUCAAGAAGAGAACUUCAGUGUGGAGGCCCAAGAAGGCAGGGGUCUUGUGCCUUUCCUUGGAUUCCUGGAAAUCACAUUCAUUGCUCCUCACUGCCGCCCCCCGAAGCAGACAUCCUUGCAGAAACCGACUGCAGCCCAGGGGAGACAAGAGGCCAGCUCAGUGUUCACAGUGUUUAUCACGAGCAUGCAGACGAUGCACGCGUGCAGUGCUAACAGGACAGGGGCCACAGCCCAGCGGAGUUUCUCUGGCCCACUCAGAAGUGGCCUCAUGUAUGGGACAACCCAGCCUCCAC